RNAcentral lists this long non-coding RNA (1985 nucleotides) under Homo sapiens (human). RNAcentral describes it as "HSALNT0316381". The record is from RNAcentral. Lineage: Eukaryota; Metazoa; Chordata; Mammalia; Primates; Hominidae.
CUUUCUUUUCUUAAUCCUAUCCAAGUAUGCAGUACGCUCUUGGGUCGUCUCAUGAGACCCAGGGGCAUGUUGGAAAGAACUGAGAGAAAGAGCAACAAAGCGGCGAGUGGUGUGAGAGGGCAGCACGCGCUGUGGAUGUGGACACUAAGGCUUGACUACAGUUGCUUGCCCAAGAUAACACAGCUGCUAAACAACAGAACCAGGAUGCAAACCCAGCGUGACCUGAGCCACCACCCUAUACCAUCUCCUUAGGCGCAGCACUGUUUUGCUUCAGAUGCUUCUGGACACUCAGAAGCACACAGCAGAGUAUCAGUUAUCUGAGGCUAAAAGGCAUGCCAUAUGUUGCCUCUGCAUCCAAAAAAGUGCCAACAAUAAUGCCACACUCAGAGUGGUGCUUGAAAAAUAUCUAUUGAAUCGUAUUCACAAAUGAAAACUCUUUUCUCUAAUGAUGUAUCAUCUCACUCCACUAAGAAAUCAAGUAUGGCUCCAUAAAAUUUUAGUCAUAAGGAUAAUGUUAUUUGAACAGGAACAAGAUGGCAUUAUGAAUAAUAGAUUUCAAUCUAUUAAGCACAGAGCUACAGCAACAGUUUAACAGGAUAAUGCAAGGAUUAUUAUAAAAUUUUUAGAGAUUACUGUAAGUAGCACAUGAUCCCCUUUGCUAUCAAUAAAAACAAAACAAUGCUGAGAAAUAGGCCAUUUUGUUUAUUUGCUUUUACAUGAAAGCUGUGUGGAGUUGCGCAACUAGACUAGGGUUAGGACAGCUGAGUUCUAUUCUUGGUUCUGAAACUAAAUGGCUCUACGACUCUCAGUAAAAGACUGACCUUUUCACGCCUAAAUCUCCUCAUGGUUAAAUGUAGGGGAGGAUCAGAUGAGAUGAGUGAUAAGGUCCUUCCAACUCUAAAAUCCCAUCAUUCUGUAAUAGUGCUGCAUUAGAUUCCAAUGUUAGCGUAGUUGGAAAUGCUCACUUCACAAUUUUUUACCUUUUGCAAAAUUCCCUGUAUCAGGAGAUUCAAAACAUACUUUAUGCCAAAACUCAGAAGGGAAAGAAAUACAGCAGCCUUUUAGCUAUAAUCUGAUAUGCAGCAACUAUAGUGUAUGUGCAAGGUGAAGGAAGAGUGACAAAAUAAGACUAAGAAAAGGAAAAACAAAACUGUCACCAUUACAGGACACCAAACCAGCCAAGACAUGAUGAAAGACAUGGCAAGAUUCAUACAGGGAAUUAGAGCAAUCUGAGCCAUUUUCUAGAACUUUCUCAAUUUUAAUUGGGCUUAUUUAAAAUUCAGUUAUCCACUUUGGUGUACAUGAAAUAAAAUCUAAAAUAUCACCAAGACUUACUGUACUUACAAUUAGUGACAGCUCGUGAACAAAUACAGUUUCUAGUAAUAUUGUAUAUAAAGCAAUGCUAUAUAUACAGAUCUGGAACCCCCAGUGCUGGGUUCUUUGCCUACCUUUCUAUAAUUAGCUGUGUUAUCUUCAUUAAUGAAUGUGACCUUCCUGUCAGAUAUGUUGCUUAGCUCUAACACAAUUGAUUUUAUUGUGAUACAAAAACAAUAUGUUUUGGUUAUGCAAUCACUCACUGACUUCUAUGAAAUAGGUCUUAGUAAGUGGAGGGUCUGUUGUUAGCCAAGGGAAUGACAAGUGUGACCACUAGGUUUGGCACAGCUGGGCCAAGACUGCGUAAUUAAGGGAAAGAGAUUGAGAAGCCCCAGAGACAGGAUUCUGGGAAGGGAAGCAGGAACCAUUACAGCUAAGUGGUAGCGGUGAAAAAGCAGAUAAGAAAGUAGAGAAGAAGACCCAAGAGCUAUAAGGCUAAGAAAAGAAACUUGGAGGGAAAUGCUGUGUUCUACAAACCCUCUCUUUUUCCUCCAAUUCUAAACUGUCAAUAAACUAUACACUCUUCAGUAAUGCCUUGGUGCAAGUGGAUUCUUUAUUUUGAAGGUAAAGUGAUUAAAUCCAGUUUCAGAGGCUGACUCAUGGGUUAAAAA